This 623-nucleotide ribosomal RNA is filed under the name uncultured bacterium. RNAcentral's name for it is "bacterial SSU rRNA". It matches the Rfam family "Bacterial small subunit ribosomal RNA", at positions 26 to 627 of the family's 1533-position model. The record is from RNAcentral.
AGAACGAACGCUGGCGGCGUGCCUAACACAUGCAAGUCCAACGUGAAAGGGGAGCAAUCCCCCGGUAGGGUGGCAAACGGGUGAGUAAUACAUGGGUGAUCUACCCUAGGGAUGGGGAUAUCCUUCCGAAAGGAGGGGCAAUACCGAAUAUUGUCCGGAGCCGUGAAGGGUUCCGGGGAAAGGGAGGCCUCUGAUACAAGCUUUCGCCUUAAGAUGAGCCCAUGGCCCAUCAGCUAGUUGGUAGGGUAAAGGCCUACCAAGGCUACGACGGGUCGCUGGUCUGAGAGGACGACCAGCCACACUGGCACUGAGAUACGGGCCAGACUCCUACGGGAGGCAGCAGUGAGGAAUAUUGCGCAAUGGGGGAAACCCUGACGCAGCAACGCCGCGUGUGGGAAGAAGGCCUUCGGGUCGUAAACCACUUUUGCACGGGACGAAAAAGGGAUAUCGAACAAAUAUCCCCGAUGACGGUACCGUGAGAAUAAGCCACGGCUAACUCUGUGCCAGCAGCCGCGGUAAGACAGAGGUGGCAAGCGUUGUUCGGAAUUACUGGGCGUAAAGAGUCUGUAGGUGGUUUGUCAAGUCUUUGGUGAAAGGCCGUAGCUUAACUAUGGGAAUGCCAA